GAUGAACGCUGGCGGCGUGCCUAAUACAUGCAAGUAGAACGCUGAAACUUGGUGCUUGCACCGAGCGGAUGAGUUGCGAACGGGUGAGUGACGCGUAGGUAACCUGCCUCUUAGCGGGGGAUAACUAUUGGAAACGAUAGCUAAUACCGCAUAAAAGUCGACAUCGCAUGAUGUUGACUUGAAAGGUGCAAUUGCAUCACUAAGAGAUGGACCUGCGUUGUAUUAGCUAGUUGGUGAGGUAACGGCUCACCAAGGCGACGAUACAUAGCCGACCUGAGAGGGUGAUCGGCCACACUGGGACUGAGACACGGCCCAGACUCCUACGGGAGGCAGCAGUAGGGAAUCUUCGGCAAUGGGGGCAACCCUGACCGAGCAACGCCGCGUGAGUGAAGAAGGUUUUCGGAUCGUAAAGCUCUGUUGUAAGAGAAGAACGAGUGUGAGAGUGGAAAGUUCACACUGUGACGGUAACUUACCAGAAAGGGACGGCUAACUACGUGCCAGCAGCCGCGGUAAUACGUAGGUCCCGAGCGUUAUCCGGAUUUAUUGGGCGUAAAGCGAGCGCAGGCGGUUAGAUAAGUCUGAAGUUAAAGGCUGUGGCUUAACCAUAGUACGCUUUGGAAACUGUUUAACUUGAGUGCAGAAGGGGAGAGUGGAAUUCCAUGUGUAGCGGUGAAAUGCGUAGAUAUAUGGAGGAACACCGGUGGCGAAAGCGGCUCUCUGGUCUGUAACUGACGCUGAGGCUCGAAAGCGUGGGGAGCAAACAGG
RNAcentral lists this ribosomal RNA (765 nucleotides) under uncultured Streptococcus sp. RNAcentral's name for it is "bacterial SSU rRNA". It matches the Rfam family "Bacterial small subunit ribosomal RNA", at positions 28 to 776 of the family's 1533-position model. Lineage: Bacteria; Bacillati; Bacillota; Bacilli; Lactobacillales; Streptococcaceae. The record is from RNAcentral.